CUUUAAACCAAAACUCUUUAAUUCUAAUAUUCAUUUUCAACAAUACAUUCACACAAUAAAAUAUUUUGCACGCAAGCACAAAACUUUUCUCUACUUUUUAACCACACAUUCUCCAAAUAAUCACUAUCCAAAAUAUCAUUUUUUUUCUCAAUAAUGGCCAUCAAACAAAGACUAAAUAAAUCACCAAUCAUCAAAAUGAUAAUUCUGCAAAAGUGCAAAAAACACAAGUGUAUUUUUAAAGACAGAACUGCCACAAAUAUUAUAGACAAAAAAGAAAAAUAUAAGAUUGGCGUGUACAAUUGACAAACAACUCAGUCCCUUAGAUGUUCAUUAACUUGCGAUCAUAUUCGCAAAUCAUUACAGGUCUGUAGAGUUCAUCACAGUUGUUCUAUACACACCAUGAGAAUUUAUGAGCCAAGAAUAGUAAAAUAUAUAUUAUAUAUCAGAUAAAAGAAAAAAGCAGCGUAACUGUAUAAAUAUAGCUGUCCCAGCGUUUUCUAAAAGCAACUCAAGGAUGCACACAGUCACUCUCACUUCCAGGGAAGGAGUUGGUCAGAAAUACGCCGAUCCUGCCAACCAGAUAGUCACAGUCAAAAAAAUUUUAUACAGUUCUUUUUAUUUUUUUGACCCUUUUCAGUUUAUUUUCUACUUAGUUACCACCUACAGAGUUCUCAUUCUCAAAUGAGUGACUGCAUAUUUUAAAAACUGUUUAAAGCUUUAAG
RNAcentral lists this long non-coding RNA (722 nucleotides) under Olea europaea subsp. europaea. The record is from RNAcentral. Lineage: Eukaryota; Viridiplantae; Streptophyta; Magnoliopsida; Lamiales; Oleaceae.